UCCUCUACCUGGACCUCGAGUUUUGCAUAUACUCUGUAAUAAACUGUGUAUUAAAAAUUAUAAGAUUAUUAUUUUUAUAUAAAACUUCAAUUUGAAUUACUUAAUAUGAGAAAACUUAUUCAAAUAAUUAUGUAAUUUUUAUAUAUGUAUAUUGAUGUGGGAUUUUCAACAUAUUUUGCCAAAUCGAUUUCAUGGGUUGAGGUUGGUUACUUUCAUUAUGGAUUGGAUCGACUUGUGUCUGUCUCAACAUCAAAUUCAUGUAAUGAUUUUAACUCAAAAUUAAUGUAUGUCAAUCUAGAUUUCAAAUAUUU
RNAcentral lists this long non-coding RNA (311 nucleotides) under Brassica rapa (field mustard). RNAcentral's name for it is "long non-coding RNA (BRAP_LNC000532)". The record is from RNAcentral. Lineage: Eukaryota; Viridiplantae; Streptophyta; Magnoliopsida; Brassicales; Brassicaceae.